RNAcentral lists this transfer RNA (84 nucleotides) under Geodermatophilus sp. Leaf369. RNAcentral's name for it is "tRNA-Leu". It matches the Rfam family "tRNA". From Rfam's summary of the family: Transfer RNA (tRNA) molecules are approximately 80 nucleotides in length. Their secondary structure includes four short double-helical elements and three loops (D, anti-codon, and T loops). Further hydrogen bonds mediate the characteristic L-shaped molecular structure. tRNAs have two regions of fundamental functional importance: the anti-codon, which is responsible for specific mRNA codon recognition, and the 3' end, to which the tRNAs corresponding amino acid is attached (by aminoacyl-tRNA synthetases). tRNAs cope with the degeneracy of the genetic code in two manners: having more than one tRNA (with a specific anti-codon) for a particular amino acid; and 'wobble' base-pairing, i.e. permitting non-standard base-pairing at the 3rd anti-codon position. The record is from RNAcentral. Lineage: Bacteria; Bacillati; Actinomycetota; Actinomycetes; Geodermatophilales; Geodermatophilaceae.
GCGGGAGUGGUGUAACGGCAGCCACGCCAGCCUUAGGAGCUGGUGCCUUCGGGCGUGCGGGUUCGACUCCCGCCUCCCGCACCC